Molecule: long non-coding RNA, 862 nt
Filed under: Cyanistes caeruleus (blue tit)
Lineage: Eukaryota; Metazoa; Chordata; Aves; Passeriformes; Paridae
Description: lncRNA (ENSCCEG00000018874.1)
Source: RNAcentral
CCCCCCUUCCCCUCAGCACUCGCCUCCUGUUCCGCCCGCAGCGCGCGCGCGUCGCGUUUCCUCCGCUCCACCUCGGCCGCCGCCUCGUCCCGCCGCACCCGCGCCACAUUGUCCUUGUUCCGCACGUGCCACGACUUCUUCGGGAGGAUGUUCAUGGCGGCGGCGGCGGCGGGGCCGGCAGCGGCACCAGGCCGCGACUCUAAAGCACGGAGCCUGCACCUCCCUCCGUUCCGCCCUCUCGGUUCUGAUUGGUCGAGCCCGCUGUCGCUCCGCUCGUACCUCGCUCUCUGAUUCGUUCGGCCUUUUCGCUCCGCCCCGUGGCCGCUCUGAUUGGUUGAGAGUUAUAAUCCCGCCUUCUUCCCGCCUCUGAUUGGCUCGCCCGCCUCCCUCAGCGAGGCGAUGCCGGAAGUGGAAAUUUCCCGCCCUCUCGCAUUGUGGGAGCGCCGCCAUAUUGAACCGUGAGGGGAGGCGAGGGCAUCCCUGAAAUCUUCCCCCCAAAAACCUCAAAAACCUCCUCGGGAUCCUCCAAAAUAACCCUAAAACCCCUUUGGGAACCCUCAGAAUCUCCUUGGGAACUCCUGGCCCGAGUUCUUUCCCGAUUUCAAGGUGUUUGCUGCAAGAUUUGCCUCAUUUCCCCCAAAGAUUCACCUCAGGGCCUUGGGGGUCCGGCAGGAUCAGGGCCGUGGCCGCGCCCAGGAUGAGCAGGGGCACAAGAUGGAGGCAGAAAUGCACCGAGGCCCAAAAUCGCAGCGUGGCCUCGGCCUCCCGCAGCACGAAACCCAUGCUCAGGGCCGCCUCGGCCGCCGCCUCUGCCGCCAGCCACAGCGGCACGGUGAGGAAGGACAGGUACUGCCCGCCGUGC